RNAcentral lists this ribosomal RNA (249 nucleotides) under uncultured bacterium. Its description in RNAcentral is "partial 16S ribosomal RNA". It matches the Rfam family "Bacterial small subunit ribosomal RNA", at positions 109 to 353 of the family's 1533-position model. The record is from RNAcentral.
AGUAACGCGUGAGUAACCUGCCUUCAAGAGGGGGAGUAACAUUCUGAAAAGAAUGCUAAUACCGCAUGACAUAUCGGAACCACAUGGUUUUGAUAUCAAAGAUUUUAUCGCUUGAAGAUGGACUCGCGUCCGAUUAGUUAGUUGGUGAGGUAACGGCUCACCAAGACCGCGAUCGGUAGCCGGACUGAGAGGUUGAACGGCCACAUUGGAACUGAGACACGGCCCAGACUCCCUACGGGAGGCAGCAUG